CAGCAGCCGCGGGAAUACGUAGGGUGCAAGCGUUAAUCGGAAUUACUGGGCGUAAAGCGUGCGCAGGCGGUUAUAUAAGACAGAUGUGAAAUCCCCGGGCUCAUCCUGGGAACUGCAUUUGUGACUGUAUAGCUAGAGUACGGCAGAGGGGGAUGGAAUUCCGCGUGUAGCAGUGAAAUGCGUAGAUAUGCGGAGGAACACCGAUGGCGAAGGCAAUCCCCUGGGCCUGUACUGACGCUCAUGCACGAAAGCGUGGGGAGCAAACAGGAUUAGAUACCCCAGUAGUCCCUGUCUCUUUACA
This 301-nucleotide ribosomal RNA is filed under the name uncultured bacterium. RNAcentral's name for it is "partial 16S ribosomal RNA". It matches the Rfam family "Bacterial small subunit ribosomal RNA", at positions 509 to 808 of the family's 1533-position model. The record is from RNAcentral.